GAUGAACGCUGGCGGCGUGCCUAAUACAUGCAAGUCGAGCGAACGGACGAGAAGCUUGCUUCUCUGAUGUUAGCGGCGGACGGGUGAGUAACACGUGGAUAACCUACCUAUAAGACUGGGAUAACCUCGGGAAACCGGAGCUAAUACCGGAUGAUAUUUUGAACCGCAUGGUUCAAAAGUGAAAGACGGUCUUGCUGUCACUUAUAGAUGGAUCCGCGCUGCAUUAGCUAGUUGGUAAGGUAACGGCUUACCAAGGCAACGAUGCAUAGCCGACCUGAGAGGGUGAUCGGCCACACUGGAACUGAGAUACGGUCCAGACUCCUACGGGAGGCAGCAGUAGGGAAUCUUCCGCAAUGGGCGAAAGCCUGACGGAGCAACGCCGCGUGAGUGAUGAAGGUCUUCGGAUCGUAAAACUCUGUUAUUAGGGAAGAACAUAUGUGUAAGUAACUGUGCACAUCUUGACGGUACCUAAUCAGAAAGCCACGGCUAACUACGUG
Molecule: ribosomal RNA, 497 nt
Filed under: uncultured bacterium
Lineage: Bacteria
Description: partial 16S ribosomal RNA
Rfam family: Bacterial small subunit ribosomal RNA
Source: RNAcentral